CUACGGGGGGCUGCAGUGGGGAAUAUUGCACAAUGGGCGAAAGCCUGAUGCAGCAACGCCGCGUGAGGGACGACGGCCUUCGGGUUGUAACCUCUUUUAGCAGGGAAGAAGCGAAAGUGACGGUACCUGCAGAAAAAGCACCGGCUAACUACGUGCCAGCAGCCGCGUAAUACGUAGGGUGCAAGCGUUGUCCGGAAUUGUUGGGCGUAAAGAGCUCGUAGGCGGUUUGUCGCGUCUGCUGUGAAAAUCCGAGGCUCAACCUCGGACCUGCAGUGGGUACGGGCAAACUAGAGUGCGGUAGGGGAGAUUGGAAUUCCUGGUGUAGCGGUGGAAUGCGCAGAUAUCAGGAGGAACACCAAUGGCGAAGGCAGAUCUCUGGGCCGUAACUGACGCUGAGGAGCGAAAGCGUGGGGAGCGAACAGGAUUAGAUACCCUCGUAGUC
This 442-nucleotide ribosomal RNA is filed under the name uncultured bacterium. RNAcentral describes it as "partial 16S ribosomal RNA". It matches the Rfam family "Bacterial small subunit ribosomal RNA", at positions 339 to 795 of the family's 1533-position model. The record is from RNAcentral.